RNAcentral lists this ribosomal RNA (548 nucleotides) under uncultured Glomeromycotina. RNAcentral describes it as "SSU rRNA". It matches the Rfam family "Eukaryotic small subunit ribosomal RNA", at positions 548 to 1098 of the family's 1831-position model. The record is from RNAcentral. Lineage: Eukaryota; Fungi; Glomeromycota.
UUGGAGGGCAAGUCUGGUGCCAGCAGCCGCGGUAAUUCCAGCUCCAAUAGCGUAUAUUAAAGUUGCUGCAGUUAAAAAGCUCGUAGUUGAAUUUCGGGACCAUCAUGUCGGUCGUGCCUCGGUACGUACUGGUAUUGUUGGUUUCUCCCUUCUGACGAACCAUGAUGUCAUUUAUUUGGUGUUGUGGGGAAUCAGGACUGUUACUUUGAAAAAAUUAGAGUGUUUAAAGCAGGCUCACGCUUGAAUACAUUAGCAUGGAAUAAUGAAAUAGGACGUUUGAUUCUAUUUUGUUGGUUUCUAGGAUCGACGUAAUGAUUAAUAGGGAUAGUUGGGGGCAUUAGUAUCCAAUUGUCAGAGGUGAAAUUCUUGGAUUUAUUGAAGACUAACUACUGCGAAAGCAUUUGCCAAGGAUGUUUUCAUUAAUCAAGAACGAAAGUUAGGGGAUCGAAGACGAUCAGAUACCGUCGUAGUCUUAACCAUAAACUAUGCCGACUAGGGAUCGGAUGAUGUUAAUUUUUUAAUGACUCAUUCGGCGCCUUACGGGAAAC